CCCCCACAACGAAGUUGAUUUUAUGUUACAUUAUUGUAGUUCGCUAACUACGUAGUUAUUGUAGUUCGCUAACUACGUAGUUAUUGUAGUUCGCUAACUACGUAGUUAGGGAACGCGCCUGCUUAAACUAUAAAAUACCUUAUAACGCUAGCGACGUGAAUUUGGCUGAAGGACGAUGUUGUGCUAACGCUUUUGUGACGAAAAAUAAGGGCCAUGUUAUUUAUACAUGGCCGAAGGCCUGUUAUUGUACAACGUAGUUUCUUCCCCGAAGAAGACGAAGAGCCUCGACCUGACCUUUAGCCGGUUUGUAGUUUAAUGCAAUUAAACUACAAACCGGCUAGUUUGUAGCUUAAGUAACUCAAACGCGUCCUUUGCUCCCUGUUUUAACUCCCACUGCCUUAGGCCGGAUCGUUGUAUAUGCCGAAGUUCACUUAUGUUUGUUGUCCCCCUUCGUCCCCCUUCGGGGAAGUAAGACAACGAAGACCUAAGUAUUGUGACCAAGCCACAAGAACCCGUGUAUCCGACCUACGGCCGGGUUUAUUACGUACCUUAGUGUAAGGUACCUUAACGUGCGCUAAAUUACGUUUGGAGCUCCGCUCCUCACCGAGAGCUAGUUCUAGCAUCAAUUUCUUGCAUACCCUAAUAGGCCUAGUUUUUUUUCUUUGAGAGCGCUGCUAUCUAGAUACGCGUGACANAAACCUGUCAGGUGCGAUACGUUGUGGUAUUACUUACUUUUUAGUUCCUUUUUGGGUAGGGCAUUUUAGUUGUUUAUCACAAANN
Molecule: long non-coding RNA, 780 nt
Filed under: Volvox carteri
Lineage: Eukaryota; Viridiplantae; Chlorophyta; Chlorophyceae; Chlamydomonadales; Volvocaceae
Description: long non-coding RNA (VCAR_LNC004211)
Source: RNAcentral